AGAGUUUGAUCCUGGCUCAGGACGAACGCUGGCGGCGUGCUUAACACAUGCAAGUCGAGCGGAAAGGCCCUUCGGGGUACUCGAGCGGCGAACGGGUGAGUAACACGUGAGUAACCUGCCCUGGACUUUGGGAUAACCCUCGGAAACGGGGGCUAAUACCGGAUACGACAUUCCACCGCAUGGUGUGUUUGUGGAAAGUUUUUCGGUCUGGGAUGGGCUCGCGGCCUAUCAGCUUGUUGGUGGGGUGAUGGCCUACCAAGGCGACGACGGGUAGCCGGCCUGAGAGGGCGACCGGCCACACUGGGACUGAGACACGGCCCAGACUCCUACGGGAGGCAGCAGUGGGGAAUAUUGCACAAUGGGCGGAAGCCUGAUGCAGCGACGCCGCGUGAGGGAUGACGGCCUUCGGGUUGUAAACCUCUUUCAGCAGGGACGAAGCGCAAGUGACGGUACCUGCAGAAGAAGCGCCGGCCAACUACGUGCCAGCAGCCGCGGUAAGACGUAGGGCGCGAGCGUUGUCCGGAUUUAUUGGGCGUAAAGAGCUCGUAGGCGGCUUGUCGCGUCGACUGUGAAAACCCGCGGCUCAACCGCGGGCCUGCAGCCGAUACGGGCAGGCUAGAGUUCGGUAGGGGAGACUGGAAUUCCUGGUGUAGCGGUGAAAUGCGCAGAUAUCAGGAGGAACACCGAUGGCGAAGGCAGGUCUCUGGCCGAUACUGACGCUGAGGAGCGAAAGCGUGGGGAGCGAACAGGAUUAGAUACCCUAGUAGUCC
This 770-nucleotide ribosomal RNA is filed under the name uncultured bacterium. RNAcentral's name for it is "bacterial SSU rRNA". It matches the Rfam family "Bacterial small subunit ribosomal RNA", at positions 8 to 796 of the family's 1533-position model. The record is from RNAcentral.